AGAGUUUGAUCAUGGCUCAGGAUGAACGCUGGCGGCGUGCCUAAUACAUGCAAGUCGAACGAACUCUGGUAAUGAUUGGUACUUGUAUCAUGAUUUACAUUUGAGUGAGUGGCGAACUGGUGAGUAACACGUGGGAAACCUGCCCAGAAGUGGGGGAUAACACCUGGAAACAGAUGCUAAUACCGCAUAACAACUUGAACCGCAUGGUUCGAGUUUGAAAGAUGGCUUCGGCUAUCACUUUUGGAUGGUCCCGCGGCGUAUUAGCUAGAUGGUGAGGUAAAGGCUCACCAUGGCAAUGAUACGUAGCCGACCUGAGAGGGUAAUCGGCCACAUUGGGACUGAGACACGGCCCAAACUCCUACGGGAGGCAGCAGUAGGGAAUCUUCCACAAUGGACGAAAGUCUGAUGGAGCAACGCCGCGUGAGUGAAGAAGGGUUUCGGCUCGUAAAACUCUGUUGUUAAAGAAGAACAUAUCUGAGAGUAACUGUUCAGGUAUUGACGGUAUUUAACCAGAAAGCCACGGCUAACUACGUGCCAGCAGCCGCGGUAAUACGUAGGUGGCAAGCGUUAUCCGGAUUUAUUGGGCGUAAAGCGAGCGCAGGCGGUUUUUUAAGUCUGAUGUGAAAGCCUUCGGCUCAACCGAAGAAGUGCAUCGGAAACUGGAAAACUUGAGUGCAGAAGAGGACAGUGGAACUCCAUGUGUAGCGGUGAAAUGCGUAGAUAUAUGGAAGAACACCAGUGGCGAAGGCGGCUGUCUGGUCUGUAACUGACGCUGAGGCUCGAAAGUAUGGGUAGCAAACAGGAUUAGAUACCCUGGUAGUCCAUACCGUAAACGAUGAAUGCUAAGUGUUGGAGGGUUUCCGCCCUUCAGUGCUGCAGCUAACGCAUUAAGCAUUCCGCCUGGGGAGUAC
Molecule: ribosomal RNA, 911 nt
Filed under: uncultured Bacilli bacterium
Lineage: Bacteria; Bacillati; Bacillota; Bacilli
Description: bacterial SSU rRNA
Rfam family: Bacterial small subunit ribosomal RNA
Source: RNAcentral